This 254-nucleotide ribosomal RNA is filed under the name uncultured bacterium. Its description in RNAcentral is "partial 16S ribosomal RNA". It matches the Rfam family "Bacterial small subunit ribosomal RNA", at positions 524 to 776 of the family's 1533-position model. The record is from RNAcentral.
CACGUAGGGUGCGAGCGUUGUCCGGAAUUAUUGGGCGUAAAGAGCUCGUAGGCGGUGUGUCGCGUCGGCCGUGAAAACUUGGGGCUUAACUCUGAGCGUGCGGUCGAUACGGGCAUCACUUGAGUUCGGUAGGGGAGACUGCAAUUCCUGGUGUAGCGGUGAAAUGCGUAGAUAUCUGGAGGAACACCGGUGGCGAAGGCGGCAUCCUGGACCAAUUCUGACACUGAGGAGCGAAAGCCAGGGGAGCAAACGGG